This 497-nucleotide long non-coding RNA is filed under the name Mytilus galloprovincialis (Mediterranean mussel). The stretch from base 292 to 336 matches the Rfam family "Histone 3' UTR stem-loop". Lineage: Eukaryota; Metazoa; Mollusca; Bivalvia; Mytilida; Mytilidae. The record is from RNAcentral.
GUGAAACGUUAUCACGUGACAUGGAAUAAUUCAGUUGUUUUUCAUUCAAUUGCAAGGAAGGACGAAUAACCCUAAACAUUUCCAUCAGCGGUGAAUAACCCUAUUAUUCUCCGGCGAAUAACCUUUUGAGAUUGUUGAUUUGUACUUGAGUUAUCUCCCAUGAAAAUGACGUCACAGACGUAAAUAAACAAAAUGGCAGCGUUCACGUUACACUAAAAGCCCACCGAGAGACGAGGAAAUAAGGCAUUGGACAUGAAUAGAGUGCCAGCAGCUGAUAAUAGCUCUUAUAGAGUAACGGUCCUUUUCAGGGCCAUCAAUAUUUUACAAAAAGAUUCUACCUUUGUUGUACAUUCUAGAAAUUCUACAACACUAAUGUAUUUUCAAACGUCAGCUUGUCUUUGACUUUGUUAUGUAAAGUUUAAAAAAUAUAGUAAGUGUUCGGAAGGCAUUUCCAGUGUUAGUUCGGUAUAAUAAAAAAAUUGUGGCCCCUUAGAAUC